CGGCAAGACCUCUCACUAUUGGAGCGGCCGAUAUCGGAUUAGCUAGUUGGUGGGGUAAAGGCCUACCAAGGCGACGAUCCGUAGCUGGUUUGAGAGGACGACCAGCCACACUGGGACUGAGACACGGCCCAGACUCCUACGGGAGGCAGCAGUGGGGAAUUUUGGACAAUGGGGGCAACCCUGAUCCAGCCAUCCCGCGUGUGCGAUGAAGGCCUUCGGGUUGUAAAGCACUUUUUGGCAGGGAAGAAACGGCGCUGGUUAAUACCUGGCGUCACUGACGGUACCUGCAGAAUAAGCACCGGCUAACUACGUGCC
This 315-nucleotide ribosomal RNA is filed under the name uncultured Bordetella sp. RNAcentral's name for it is "bacterial SSU rRNA". It matches the Rfam family "Bacterial small subunit ribosomal RNA", at positions 200 to 509 of the family's 1533-position model. Lineage: Bacteria; Pseudomonadati; Pseudomonadota; Betaproteobacteria; Burkholderiales; Alcaligenaceae. The record is from RNAcentral.